UAGAGUUUGAUCCUGGCUCAGAAUGAACGCUAGCUACAGGCUUAACACAUGCAAGUCGAGGGGCAGCAUGGUCUUAGCUUGCUAAGACUGAUGGCGACCGGCGCACGGGUGAGUAACACGUAUCCAACCUGCCGUCUACUCUUGGACAGCCUUCUGAAAGGAAGAUUAAUACAAGAUGGCAUCAUGAGUCCACAUGUUCACAUGAUUAAAGGUAUUCCGGUAGACGAUGGGGAUGCGUUCCAUUAGAUAGUAGGCGGGGUAACGGCCCACCUAGUCUUCGAUGGAUAGGGGUUCUGAGAGGAAGGUCCCCCACAUUGGAACUGAGACACGGUCCAAACUCCUACGGGAGGCAGCAGUGAGGAAUAUUGGUCAAUGGGCGAGAGCCUGAACCAGCCAAGUAGCGUGAAGGAUGACUGCCCUAUGGGUUGUAAACUUCUUUUAUAAAGGAAUAAAGUCGGGUAUGCAUACCCGUUUGCAUGUACUUUAUGAAUAAGGAUCGGCUAACUCCGUGCCAGCAGCCGCGGUAAUACGGAGGAUCCGAGCGUUAUCCGGAUUUAUUGGGUUUAAAGGGAGCGUAGAUGGAUGUUUAAGUCAGUUGUGAAAGUUUGCGGCUCAACCGUAAAAUUGCAGUUGAUACUGGAUAUCUUGAGUGCAGUUGAGGCAGGCGGAAUUCGUGGUGUAGCGGUGAAAUGCUUAGAUAAUCACGAAGAACUCCGAUGCGAAGGCAGCCUGCUAAGCUGCAAACUGACAUUGAGGCUCGAAAAGUGUGGGUAUCAAACAGGAUUAGAUACCCUGGUAGUCCACACGGUAAACGAUGAAUACUCGCUGUUUGCGAUAUACGGCAAGCGGCCAAGCGAAAGCGUUAAGUAUUCCACCUGGGGAGUACGCCGGCAACGGUGAAACUCAAAGGAAUUGACGGGGGCCCGCACAAGCGGAGGAACAUGUGGUUUAAUUCGAUGAUACGCGAGGAACCUUACCCGGGCUUAAAUUGCAGAUGAAUUACGGUGAAAGCCGUAAGCCGCAAGGCAUCUGUGAAGGUGCUGCAUGGUUGUCGUCAGCUCGUGCCGUGAGGUGUCGGCUUAAGUGCCAUAACGAGCGCAACCCUUGUUGUCAGUUACUAACAGGUCAUGCUGAGGACUCUGACAAGACUGCCAUCGUAAGAUGUGAGGAAGGUGGGGAUGACGUCAAAUCAGCACGGCCCUUACGUCCGGGGCUACACACGUGUUACAAUGGGGGGUACAGAGGGCCGCUACCACGCGAGUGGAUGCCAAUCCCCAAAACCUCUCUCAGUUCGGACUGGAGUCUGCAACCCGACUCCACGAAGCUGGAUUCGCUAGUAAUCGCGCAUCAGCCACGGCGCGGUGAAUACGUUCCCGGGCCUUGUACACACCGCCCGUCA
RNAcentral lists this ribosomal RNA (1399 nucleotides) under uncultured bacterium. RNAcentral's name for it is "16S ribosomal RNA". It matches the Rfam family "Bacterial small subunit ribosomal RNA". The record is from RNAcentral.